UGCGAUCAUGAUCGCGGCAGUCUUACCAGUGCUUCGUGGUCCGCACUCAUGAUCGCGGUCAUAUAGCUUGGACAAGGCAUGGCGAUCAUGGUCGCGCCGAUCACGAACCGAGCUAGCAGCCUGUCACGUUGCGAUGAUUGAACUCUGACAACGACGGACAGGGAGCGAUAUCUGUCCCGUACAUGAACUGCGUAAUUAUGGUGGAGCCUCGGAUAUUGUGAUGCGCUCGACGGGAGGAGUGCUUAACGUGUGUGCCGUAAAUCGCAUGGGUGAACUUGUUGAAAAGAGGCACUUCUGCCAGAAGACAGCAGGUUAUUCCGAAUGCACUUAAAGAUGUGUGGAACAUCGAUGAUGCAGAAAAUUCGCCUGUCUGGAAUACUGGGAUGCUCAAAU
Molecule: long non-coding RNA, 393 nt
Organism: Ornithodoros turicata
Lineage: Eukaryota; Metazoa; Arthropoda; Arachnida; Ixodida; Argasidae
Exons: 3
Source: RefSeq, a predicted model, not a curated record